GUGAGGAAUAUUGCGCAAUGGAGGCAACUCUGACGCAGCCAUGCCGCGUGCAGGAAGAAGGCGCUACGCGUUGUAAACUGCUUUUAACCGGGAAGAAACCCCAGGACGUGUCCUGGGUUGACGGUACCGGAGGAAUAAGCACCGGCUAACUUCGUGCCAGCAGCCGCGGUAAUACGAAGGGUGCAAGCGUUAUCCGGAUUCAUUGGGUUUAAAGGGUGCGUAGGCGGAGCGUUAAGUCAGUGGUGAAAUCCUGCAGCUUAACUGUAGACUUGCCAUUGAUACUGGCGCUCUUGAGUGCGCUUGAAGUGGGCGGAAUGUGCCGUGUAGCGGUGAAAUACUUAGAUAUGGCACAGAACACCAAUUGCGAAGGCAGCUCACUAAGGCGAUACUGACGCUGAGGCACGAAAGCGUGGGGAUCGAACAGGAUUAGAUACCCUUGUAGUCC
Molecule: ribosomal RNA, 445 nt
Filed under: uncultured bacterium
Lineage: Bacteria
Description: partial 16S ribosomal RNA
Rfam family: Bacterial small subunit ribosomal RNA
Source: RNAcentral